AGAGUUUGAUCCUGGCUCAGAAUGAACGCUGGCGGCGUGCUUAACACAUGCAAGUCGAACGAGAAAGGGAUUGCUUGCAAUCCCGAGUAGAGUGGCGCACGGGUGAGUAACACGUAGAUAAUCUGCCUUCAAGCCUGGGAUAACUAUUCGAAAGGGUAGCUAAUACCGGAUAAAGUCGAUCUACACAAGUAGAUUGAUGAAAGAUUGCCUCUUCUUGAAAGCAAUUGUUUGGAGAUGAGUUUGCGUACCAUUAGCUUGUUGGUGGGGUAAAGGCCUACCAAGGCAACGAUGGUUAGCUGGUCUGAGAGGAUGAUCAGCCACACUGGAACUGGAACACGGUCCAGACUCCUACGGGAGGCAGCAGUGAGGAAUUUUGCGUAAUGGGGGCAACCCUGACGCAGCAACGCCGCGUGAGUGAAGAAGGCCUUUGGGUCGUAAAACUCUGUCAACAGGGAAGAAGUUACAAUUGUUUAAUAGAUGGUUGUAUUGACGGUACCUGUGGAGGAAGCGCCGGCUAACUCCGUGCCAGCAGCCGCGGUAAUACGGGGGGCGCAAGCGUUAUUCGGAAUUAUUGGGCGUAAAGGGCGCGCAGGCGGUCUUGUCCGUCAGGUGUGAAAGCUCGGGGCUCAACCCCGGAAGUGCACUUGAAACAGCAAGACUUGAAUACGGGAGAGGAAAGCGGAAUUCCUGGUGUAGAGGUGAAAUUCGUAGAUAUCAGGAGGAACACCGAUGGCGAAGGCAGCUUUCUGGACCGAUAUUGACGCUGAGGCGCGAAGGCGUGGGUAGCAAACGGGAUUAGAUACCCCGGUAGUCCACGCAGUAAACGUUGUACACUCGGUGUAGCGGGUAUUAAAACCUGCUGUGCCCAAGCUAACGCAUUAAGUGUACCGCCUGGGAAGUACGGUCGCAAGACUAAAACUCAAAGGAAUUGACGG
RNAcentral lists this ribosomal RNA (935 nucleotides) under uncultured bacterium. RNAcentral's name for it is "bacterial SSU rRNA". It matches the Rfam family "Bacterial small subunit ribosomal RNA", at positions 8 to 916 of the family's 1533-position model. The record is from RNAcentral.